UGGGGCGUAGCCAAGCGGUAAGGCAGUGGAUUUUGAUUCCGCCAUGCCCAGGUUCGAAUCCUGGCGCCCCAGCCA
Molecule: transfer RNA, 75 nt
Filed under: Beijerinckiaceae bacterium
Lineage: Bacteria; Pseudomonadati; Pseudomonadota; Alphaproteobacteria; Hyphomicrobiales; Beijerinckiaceae
Description: tRNA-Gln
Rfam family: tRNA
About the family: Transfer RNA (tRNA) molecules are approximately 80 nucleotides in length. Their secondary structure includes four short double-helical elements and three loops (D, anti-codon, and T loops). Further hydrogen bonds mediate the characteristic L-shaped molecular structure. tRNAs have two regions of fundamental functional importance: the anti-codon, which is responsible for specific mRNA codon recognition, and the 3' end, to which the tRNAs corresponding amino acid is attached (by aminoacyl-tRNA synthetases). tRNAs cope with the degeneracy of the genetic code in two manners: having more than one tRNA (with a specific anti-codon) for a particular amino acid; and 'wobble' base-pairing, i.e. permitting non-standard base-pairing at the 3rd anti-codon position.
Source: RNAcentral